UGGGGAAUAUUGCACAAUGGAGGGAACUCUGAUGCAGCGACGCCGCGUGAACGAAGAAGGCUUUCGAGUCGUAAAGUUCUUUUAUAUGGGAAGAUAAUGACGGUACCAUAAGAAAAAGCCCCGGCUAACUACGUGCCAGCAGCCGCGGUAAUACGUAGGGGGCUAGCGUUGUCCGGAAUCACUGGGCGUAAAGGGUUCGCAGGCGGAAAUGCAAGUCAGGUGUAAAAGGCAGUAGCUUAACUACUGUAAGCAUUUGAAACUGCAUAUCUUGAGAAGAGUAGAGGUAAGUGGAAUUUUUAGUGUAGCGGUGAAAUGCGUAGAUAUUAAAAAGAAUACCGGUGGCGAAGGCGGCCCCCUGGACGAAGACUGACGCUCAGGUGCGAAAGCGUGGGGAGCAAACAGG
This 403-nucleotide ribosomal RNA is filed under the name Fusobacteriota bacterium. Its description in RNAcentral is "Fusobacteria bacterium partial 16S ribosomal RNA". It matches the Rfam family "Bacterial small subunit ribosomal RNA", at positions 355 to 776 of the family's 1533-position model. The record is from RNAcentral. Lineage: Bacteria; Fusobacteriati; Fusobacteriota.